RNAcentral lists this ribosomal RNA (504 nucleotides) under uncultured bacterium. RNAcentral describes it as "bacterial SSU rRNA". It matches the Rfam family "Bacterial small subunit ribosomal RNA", at positions 619 to 1122 of the family's 1533-position model. The record is from RNAcentral.
AACUGCAUUUGAAACUGGUGAACUAGAGUGCUGUAGAGGGGGGUAGAAUUUCAGGUGUAGCGGUGAAAUGCGUAGAGAUCUGAAGGAAUACCAGUGGCGAAGGCGGCCCCCUGGACAGACACUGACACUCAGAUGCGAAAGCGUGGGGAGCAAACAGGAUUAUAUACCCUGGUAGUCCACGCCGUAAACGAUGUCUACUUGGAGGUUGUGGCCUUGAGCCGUGGCUUUCGGAGCUAACGCGUUAAGUAGACCGCCUGGGGAGUACGGACGCAAGAUUAAAACUCAAAUGAAUUGACGGGGGCCCGCACAAGCGGUGGAGCAUGUGGUUUAAUUCUUUGCAACGCGAAUAACCUUACCUACUCUUGACAUCCAGAGAAGCCAGCGGAGACGCAGGUGUGCCUUCGGGAACUCUGAGACAGGUGCUGCAUGGCUGUCGUCAACUCGUGUUGUGAAAUGUUGGGUUAAGUCCCGCAACGAGCGCAACCCUUAUCCUUGUUUGCCAGC